RNAcentral lists this unclassified non-coding RNA (142 nucleotides) under uncultured Helotiales. RNAcentral describes it as "sequence contains ITS2". Lineage: Eukaryota; Fungi; Ascomycota; Leotiomycetes; Helotiales. The record is from RNAcentral.
AACCACUCACGCCCGGCGUGGUGUUGGGGCACGCGGUUCCGCGGCCCUCAAAAGCAGUGGCGGCGCCGGUAGGCUCUAAGCGUAGUACAUACUCCCGCUAUAGAGUUCCUCCGGUGGCUCGCCAGAACCCCCCAUUUUUACA